AAAUAUAUAUAUAUGUCUAUUACUGUUUAGAGGUAUUAGUAUUGUAUUGGUCAAACCAGCUCACAUAUCUGUAUGGAUCAUUUUGACUCCCACGCUUUCAGGGGUUUUCCACAUUUCAGUCAAAUUGGUUCAGCCUACAAUUACAGGCCUCAUUUUUGUGUUUUAAACUUCGACACAACAUAUACAUAAGGAUACAGUUUCCUUUUCCAAAUCAUGAAUUCUCGGGUUGAAUCACACAUACUGAUGCAACCAAUCAUACGUCUUUUACAUUACAGUAAUAUUAUAUACAACUUUAUAUCACUUCAAAGAAUUGUUUUCAUCCCUGCCCCUUUGUUGUUGUCAAUUAUAUAUCAGCAUAACGCAUUUACAUAUAGGCCACGGCUAGUGGCUAGUCUCCUCGCGUGUCACAUAAAGAGGGCCUCCUCUGUCACUCCCUUUCCCUGUUUUUCUGUGUUACAGUCACUGAGAGGCCUACAAUCCUGCCACUAUGACGAGUGGCCUCAAAUCCCUUUGCGCCAACGCAUAGAGCCUCUCAAGCCACUUGGCAACUAGUAGGGCCUCACCUGUCACCAAACAAGCGUAAUGUUUCGCCAUCCGGCUCAGCUAGCCUGCUAGUACGAUCUUGGUGGUUUUCAUACACUAAUUAAUUGUUUUAUUUUAGUAUGUCUCAGGAAGGGGUAGAGUAUUUCUCCCUGCCUAGCACGCCGGCUAGAGCUAUCACUCCUACACAAGGAGGAGAGGUAACUAGUCCAGCAUCGAUCAGAUCCUGGACGAUCCCUCGUAUAACUACGGAAUUGAGGAGAUGGCAAAUACCCUACCCCGCUACAGCAAGGAAAGCAGAACUUUUCAAACUGCUACGUACUUCAACUAACAACAUGGAUGCCGGGAAAGGACCUAGCCAAUCCAACCCAGGAGACCUACAUUCCACGUACUCUAAGCCUUAUCUAACGUCCAUAAAUAUUUCAGUAUUUACAGCAUUUCUGUCACAUCACACGUCUAAACACUUGGUAGACUUUCUUAUCUCUGGUUUAACAGAAGGCUUCCCUACACAUAACGUCCGGGAUUCUGGAAUGCCCUAAUCUACAAUCAGCACAACACAACCACACAGCUGUUGACACUCUCAUAGACCAAGAAGUUGCUGAGGGUUUCUUAUUGGGGCCUUUCAAGGCUCCUUCGUUCAAAGAAUGGCGCACUAACCCCAUUGGUAUUGUCACAGGGAAAUCUUCCCUUAAACAGAGACUCAUCAUUGACCUAUCUGCACCACACUCAUCGGCUAACCCCAGUCUUAAUUCCCUCAUACCCUCCGAAGAAUUCUCCCUACAAUACACCACCAUAGAUCACGCCAUUACAACUAUCAUACAAGCAGGGGUCGGAGCAUGGCUUAGUAAGACCGAUAUUACUAAUGCCUUUAAAUUGCUGCCAAUCCACCCCACACUGUGGCACCUGCAUGGCAUCAAGUGGUCCGUUGUUUCUCCCGUUUAACUUUUGGGUCCAAAAGUAGCCCAGCUAUUUUCGAUACAUUUUCCAAAGCAUUGUGCUGGUUACUAUUGAACAUAGCCAGAUGCCCUACUGUAUUACACUACCUGGAUGAUUUCUUACUGGUCGAGGAGAAUUCUUCCCCUCCCAGUAGCCUCAAAGCUACCACCAAGCUAUUCGAGCAGCUAGGUGUCCCAAUCUCCCCUAAGAAAACGGAGGGGCCAGACACGAUUAUUACAUUCCUGGGUAUUCAAUUAGACUCAACCACAAUGCAAGCAAGCCUGCCACACGACAAGAUAGAGAACAUUCUUACUUACCUUCAGCUCGGUACUUGCAACCGCAUAGAACUACAGUCCCUGCUGGGUUCACUAAAUUUUGCCAUGCGUAUUAUACCUCAAGGCCGCUCCUUCAUAUCACGACUGUCAGGUAUAGCCUGACAUGCAUUUCGCCGUAGGAACCCACUUCCGGGUUCACGGAGCUUAGCCCCGCCCCUUUUUUCUGACGCGGUCCUUACACGCUACUUAGGAAGACCGCGCCAGAUUCAAAGGGCUGGAUUAUUGCACAGGUGCCUGAAAACUUAUCAGCUGCACUACCUUGAUCCUGCCUGUAUCGAGUAUCGUUCUGGGACGGCUACUACCUUCUCCACUCCUUGAUCUCGGCUUGCAAAACGGACUUCUACCUUCUCCACUCCUUGAUCUGGGCUUGCUAAACGGACUUCUACCCCUCUCCACUUCCACUGGAUGUAGUUAACCCCUACAGUUCCAGAACUGCCUCUUAAGUAAUUGUUUCUACAAUCAAGCUACUCUCUGUUACUAAUAAUAGACUGUAUCUGAAGGCUCAUUACUGUGGCAAUCUCUCAAGUUAUUCUCUCUUAUACAUAAGGAACUGCUUUUAAGGCUAAAUUCUUCCUCCAAUAAUCAAUUUAUUCCUAGCUGCAAUUCUGUAUUUCCUCAUUAAUAAUCUUGCUUGCAAUUAUUCCAUCUGAAUUAAGCUAAAACUAACUCUGCAUAUUUUUCUGCAUUAUUCCUAAAUUGGAACUAUUUGGCUUGUGCAGAUCUUCAUUGGCUUAUUCUUUACUCACAAUUAACAUCCUGCUUGAGUAUUUAAAGCUACAGUAACCUCUCCUCCACAUCAGUAUAACAGGAGGUGAAACUAAUAGUUACUGCAAUUAGAAAAUUCUGCAGUUGAGUUCCAAUUAAAAUAAGUAUUACAACGACUCCUGUAUCUUUUUCCACUCUUCCUACACGACACACACAGGUUGUCCUUAGAUACUCAAACUACGGCAGACUUACGCAUGUGGAAGAAAUUUUUAACCACUUGGAAUGGUAAAAGUAUGUUCCUCCCUCACUUGACUGACUCAUCGCCUACCAUUUGGUCAGAUGCGGCAUCUACCACAGGUUUUGCAGCAAUUUUUGGGAACGAAUGGCUUUGGGGCAGCUGGCCUACAGCAGUUCAGGAUUUGGAAGGUAUUUCCACUACCUCAGCUCUCUUUGAGAUAUAUCCCAUCGUGGCGGCUGUCGUAGCAUGGGGUCAUUUAUGGGCAAACAUGCCAGUACGUUGCUACUCAGAUAACCAGGCAGCCUGUCACAUCAUCAACAAAGGUCGUUCCAAAUCCCUUACGAUCAUGAGAUUUCUGAGGAAACUCACUUGGUUGGCGGCCUGUCACAAUUUCUUUCUGUAUUGUUUUCAUGUUCCAGGUAUAUGUAACACAGCUGUUUUCAGGCAUUUCAUCAAGCACUCCUCAUCAGCUGCGCCCACAGCCACCACUACUCCAACAUUUCAACAACUAAUACUGGACUAGACACUAUCAUGCAUCAUAGCAGGGCACUGUCCCAAUUGGCACUGUCAAAAAAUACACACAAAACAUACAACAGGGCUUUUGCAUUAUUCAAAAGAUUCCUUUCGGAACAUAACAUCAUACAACCUUUUGUCAUGACAUCUUUUUUGGGUUUUGCUUCUUUUUGCCACCUUAAACUUAAAAUGUCAUACAACACCAUUAAACUUUAUCUCACAGGCAUUCAACACCAUAUGCUAAUUGUAACGGAUCACCUGGCACCCCGACUGGGUACCUCCGUUGAUGGAUGCUCCUAGCGCUUCUUGAGGGCUCCAAGCACUCUAGUCAACACCACAACCACCGCAGGCAGAACCUCUCUUCCUUCCGAGCAAAGCAGGAACAAGCUCUUAAAAGAGCUUAGGAGUGAUUAAAGCAAGGGAAUAUGCAGAGCAUAGCAAUCCCUUGUAGCAGAUUCCCCCCAAUAAGAGACAGAACUCCAAAUUGAGGGUGAAGUUGAACUGUCUAAAACUUUAUUUUACUUGGGACUAGCCCAUAUGGUCAUUACAUUAACAUUGCUGUGAAAACUCAAUAAAAUUACACACAAUCAAAUCAUAGCAGGCAACAUACAGUGACUUAUUAUAACAUAUAUUAUAAAUGGGUGGGGAAGACCAUAAUUAACACAAAAUGUCUCUCCUGCAUGCAGAAUUAGCAAUAUGCAAAUCUACCCGAAUAUGCAAAUUACCAGUCUUGCUAUUCAGGUAGUUCAUAUUACUGUUGCUACCAACAAAGGGCACUACACAAGCUCCAUAGCCAAAUCCAUCUAGUUGGUAGCAAUCCUCAGCAGUACAGGAGAACAGGUAAUACAUCCCAGGGGCCAUAGUCACAUGGCAGGAGGCUGGCAAUCAGUCUUCUCCAAUGCCCAAUGGCGAGGCUGGUUCCGCCACACUAAUCUUACAACCAAACAACACAAAUUUCAUGGCUUCUCACCAGAUUAAGACUAUCCUCAGAGGCAAUCAGAGAUCUGAACUCACGCCUACAUCACAGAGUCUACCCAUAAACAACCAUAUCUUCAAAGCAUUGUCUGAUCUGCUUGAUUUAAAACCUUUUGACACCAACAUAAAUUCUUUCAUCAAGGCAGCAAUAUACAUAGCUUUCUAUGGAUUCCUAAGACCUAGAGAAUUCACUACAACCAACGUGACACAAUCUACUCCUAUUCUCCUCUAUUCCCACUUAACAAAACACAUGGAUCAUUACAUCCUGACUCUACCUCACUCCAAAACCAGUCAGCAUGCACCAGUAAAAAUAACAUACUAUCCCAUGCACAAUAGGUGGUGCCCCAUCAAGAUUAUUGAUGCAUACAUACAGCAUCAUAAUUUACUACCAUCACAACCAUUAUUCAUAUUAUAUAUUACCACUACAACCUUCAUGACCUACGUCAGGUCUUUACUCACUCAACUGGGCCUCAACGCCGCUAACUACUCAGGCCACUCCUUCCGCAUAGGGGCGGCAUCCACAGCCUCCAGUGUCAACAUUCCAGUUCAUGUUAUAAAAACACUGGGGCACUGGAAAUUAACCGCUUACUCACGGUAGAUACCGAACCCAGUACAAUAAUUAAGGCAUGCUUUCAAAAACAUGUCUGGUUGAUAUAUGUAUCUGUAUUGGUUGUCUGUGAUAAAUUUAAUUACUUAAUUCUCUUCUUUCUCAGGCCUACCUCAUCAUCGGUUCGGGCACACCACAACCGAAUUGCUCAUUUUAAUAUCCUACAUUUCAUUAUGGUAUUUUACCCUGUACUAUCAUGAGCACCUAACACAAGUAUUAAGGCAAUUUGGCCUGUAUUUGUGGGAGGUGCUUGGUAUCCAAUCCUAGCCUACUAAAAGCACACCCCUUACCUUGCUCCUUAUCGUUCGAGGUCAGCGUUGAAUGACCCUCCCACCACACCACAUUUUAACAUUAUUUCCUUUCUAUUUCUUUUCCUUGGUAAGCCCUCUUCUACCUCAUCGUCGGUUCCGGCACACCACAACUGGCUUGCUCUUUUUAAUAUCCUACAUUUCAUUAUGGUAUUUUACUCUGUACUAUCAUGAGCACCUAACACAAAUA
Non-coding RNA from Pelobates cultripes (western spadefoot toad), 5347 nucleotides. NCBI's taxonomy places the organism in Eukaryota, Metazoa, Chordata, Amphibia, Anura, Pelobatidae. The record is from the annotation of a GenBank genome assembly.